Molecule: long non-coding RNA, 2340 nt
Organism: Notolabrus celidotus (New Zealand spotty)
Lineage: Eukaryota; Metazoa; Chordata; Actinopteri; Labriformes; Labridae
Exons: 3
Source: RefSeq, a predicted model, not a curated record
CCCACCUACCCCUCCAUCCUGUUAAGGAGGCACAGUCCUAAGGAGGAGGGGUAGGAUCCCCUCCCUCAGCCACCGACACUCACACAUACUCUCUCAUACACACACUCUGCUCUGUGAGGAAGCAGUCGCUGGAGAGCUGUGGAUAGACCAUGCAAGGUUCUGCAGGUGUCCCACCCUUCUCUCACCACAUGGAUGCAUUAAAAAGUGCAUCGUGAAGGAAGGAAGAAACAAUGGGAGAGAAGCAGGGUAUUAAAGAAGACACUCGACAGGGAUCCCAGGCCCGACCAGGAUGCCACGGUUACAUGUGCUUGUUGGGGUCAAAGGCUGAAGGCUGGUGAGUGGUGACCUAAGUGAGAGGCCUGGGUGACAUCUGACCUCUAACUGGGUGUGCUUCUGACCCUAGAGGAUACUGCUCAACAAUAGGAGGCACGUGCCUUGGCCUUGUCACCAUGGUAACACAGGACCUUUUGGAAUGGUAGGGGGGUGGGGGUCAAAGCUCUGUCUUUAUCCUGAUCUGUGUUAACCGUCUGUUGCCAAUUGACUCUUAUGGAUAUAACACGUGCCCACCACAGACGGUGUGUGUGUGGAGGUUUUUUAUGUGUGUGUGUGGAGUCUAAGGGCUGACUGGGUAAUCUCUGCAGGCAACUGUGAUGGUGUUUUAUAUUCUCACAUUCACCUGGAGAGAUUCUGUAGUUUGUCUUAAAUGCUUUAAAAACACUUGACCCCUCUAAACUGUGUCUAUAUUUAGAUUUAAUUAUCUUUAUCAAACGCCCGAGAGCCUGUGAAGACCGUGACAUUUAUCUUAGCAUUAAAUUGUAUUUGUUGUUCAGAUUUUUUUUUUCUGCAGCAUGUUGAGGGUAAAAAAACAUCUGCCUUCCUUAAAAUGGUGAUCAAAGAGGAUUUCACACCGUUGCUAAAGGUAACGUUCAUUGCUCAAGAGAAGAAAUGUUGCCAUGUGCCAUGCCGCUCACCAGAUUAAUCUUUUCAUGCCUCUGUUACAAGUCAAAACUGUUAGUGAUUCUUUAAAAGAGGAGAACAAGGGGAAGACAAUGAAAUACGGUCCUGAAUAAGGGCCAACAGGUGCAGUCCACCUGGAGGAAAGCAUGUUUCACACCUCAUGCUCUGCCUCUUUGAUGCUGGGCAAGCUGCACUCUUAACCACAGAAAACCACCACCAACCCGAUCCUGCAGACAUCCAGCCACACCCACUCCACUCUACUAUGAAAAAUAUAUCUCUUCAUAUUCUGUUUAAUAUAAAAUCUGUCACAUCUGCAUUUUUCUCCUCAUUACUACCAAUCCUCCUGUCUCUCUCCUGAGUCCUUACCCCACUCAUCCCCCUCCACCUCUGAUUUUUCUGUCUCAUCCCCUUCUACUUGUGUUCUGCUGUGUUUUGGUGAAAUCUCAGCUGGCAACUGUGAGUCGUUCACUAGCUGCUCUCACAAUGGCCUCUGGGAUUAUGCUAAACACAGCGCCUCGGCUGCUCUCCCCAUCGACCGGCGUCAGCGACGCCCUUUGGAGCUCACAGGAAAGAGAUGGAGGGCUCUCAAUGAAGAUGUCACUGCAAUUACACAUGUGCAUUUCACAGACACCCUCUCUGUCUGCUCUUCCUCCUCUCGCAUACCCCGUCCCCACUUUUAAAAAAUUUCUUUUCGACAGUCUUUUGAAGUGCAGCCUCAUCUCUUGCAGCUCCUUCAUAAUGCAUGCCCAUUUUGAAUUUGCAUGAAUUCACGUUCCAGAUGCUUCUGCUGCCAUCUUGACUUACAAUGAUGUGUACUGUACAGUAUUGACCAUUGUGUUAUCGAGGGAUGAAAAGAAUAAUAACCGCUUGUUUUUAUGAGUUUGGGUUAUUUUUGUAUCACAGCUCCCACUCUAAGGGCCUAUUUUAUAGAGACCUAAUAUGCUGUAAACUGUUCAGCCUUUUUUGCCCCUGGACUGAUGUUGGGGUGAAGGAAGAGCUUUCUGAUGUGGAUGAUACUGCAUCAGGAACUGAUUGGCUGCUACUCAAUAGCCAACAGUACCUGAUGCAUUGCCUUCAGCAUCGAAAGAAACGUCACAAAGUACCGACUCCUUCUGUGUUCUGAAAAACACCUCGCUUGUGUAUGGGCCUUUUUCUUUUAGGCCACAUCUAUGACCUCCUCUCUGUGAUUUGCAAGAACUGUCUGUUUGGUUUCCAGUAAAUAUUUUCUCCUCCUCUAUAAUGAGUCUUAUAUAAAAUCUUAUAUUAAUCUUGAUAAACUGUUUCAAAAUGUCUUUGAUUGAUCUAGUGCUUUAUCAAUAGUGCUUCCCUUUUUUUUAACUGAAAAGUAGCUUACCAAGUUAAAUAAAGUUUCUGUGAAAAGUC